UCCCAGACUCCUACGGGAGGCAGCAGUGGGGAAUAUUGCACAAUGGGGGAAACCCUGAUGCAGCGACGCCGCGUGAGUGAAGAAGUAUUUCGGUAUGUAAAGCUCUAUCAGCAGGGAAGAAAAUGACGGUACCUGAUUAAGGAGCCCCGGCUAACUACGUGCCAGCAGCCGCGGUAAUACGUAGGGGGCAAGCGUUAUCCGGAUUUACUGGGUGUAAAGGGAGCGUAGACGGUGAUGCAAGUCAGAAGUGAAAGCCCGGGGCUCAACUCCGGGACUGCUUUUGAAACUGGGUGACUGGAGUGCAGGAGAGGCAAGCGGAAUUCCUGGUGUAGCGGUGAAAUGCUUAG
Molecule: ribosomal RNA, 347 nt
Filed under: uncultured bacterium
Lineage: Bacteria
Description: bacterial SSU rRNA
Rfam family: Bacterial small subunit ribosomal RNA
Source: RNAcentral